AUUUUGACCCUGAAAGUACUGUGAAGAAUGAAGCUGGCUGUUUGCCAAAACACCCGCCGUCUGAGAAGAAUGGAAACGCUUGUGAGCGUGUUUUUCAUGGCUCUUGCUCACAGUUCGCUAGCUCUUUUAUCAUGUGCUAGGAGAACACGUCAUCCUUUCCGGGAAGUGAAGACUCACCCAGGAUUUCGCAUAAUUUUACAAGCUGAGAAAUGGGAAAACGUGUAGGAUCAGGGAAACGGCAGUUUUGUUGUGGACAGGCAUUCAGAUGGCAGCGGGAAAGCCACGGACAGGACUCCCAGGCCUUUCAGGCACUCUGACCUCAUUUCCUUUUUGAAGAGCGCAUCAUGUAGUGUGUUAUUUUGGACGUGUGUGUAAAGUGGUGCUUAAGCAUGGCAGACGCAUACCAACCGGCUCUCUCCUUACAAACGAAGGGCAUGCAACCUAUGAAGAACUAUGCAGCUUGGUGAUGUGUGCAACAAAUAAAUGGGUUUAAAAAGUG
Long non-coding RNA from Anguilla rostrata (American eel), 499 nucleotides. RefSeq lists it as uncharacterized. The transcript has 3 exons. The record is from RefSeq and is a predicted model, not a curated record. NCBI's taxonomy places the organism in Eukaryota, Metazoa, Chordata, Actinopteri, Anguilliformes, Anguillidae.